AACCGUACUUCUGAGGGGGGGCAGAGAC
This 28-nucleotide small RNA is filed under the name Bombyx mori (domestic silkworm). RNAcentral's name for it is "piRNA piR-bmo-1699512". Lineage: Eukaryota; Metazoa; Arthropoda; Insecta; Lepidoptera; Bombycidae. The record is from RNAcentral.